This 492-nucleotide ribosomal RNA is filed under the name uncultured bacterium. RNAcentral's name for it is "partial 16S ribosomal RNA". It matches the Rfam family "Bacterial small subunit ribosomal RNA", at positions 29 to 507 of the family's 1533-position model. The record is from RNAcentral.
AGUGAACGCUGGCGGUAGGCCUAACACAUGCAAGUCGAACGGCAGCACAGUAAGAGCUUGCUCUUACGGGUGGCGAGUGGCGGACGGGUGAGGAAUACAUCGGAAUCUACUUUUUCGUGGGGGAUAACAUAGGGAAACUUACGCUAAUACCGCAUACGACCUACGGGUGAAAGCAGGGGAUCUUCGGACCUUGCGCGAUUGAAUGAGCCGAUGUCGGAUUAGCUAGUUGGCGGGGUAAAGGCCCACCAAGGCGACGAUCCGUAGCUGGUCUGAGAGGAUGAUCAGCCACACUGGAACUGAGACACGGUCCAGACUCCUACGGGAGGCAGCAGUGGGGAAUAUUGGACAAUGGGCGCAAGCCUGAUCCAGCCAUACCGCGUGGGUGAAGAAGGCCUUCGGGUUGUAAAGCCUUUUUGUUGGGAAAGAAAAGCAGCAGGUUAAUACCCCGCUGUUCUGACGGUACCCAAAGAAUAAGCACCGGCUAACUUCGUG